RNAcentral lists this ribosomal RNA (570 nucleotides) under Escherichia coli. Its description in RNAcentral is "partial 23S ribosomal RNA". It matches the Rfam family "Bacterial large subunit ribosomal RNA", at positions 614 to 1184 of the family's 2925-position model. Lineage: Bacteria; Pseudomonadati; Pseudomonadota; Gammaproteobacteria; Enterobacterales; Enterobacteriaceae. The record is from RNAcentral.
AAUGGGUCAGCGACUUAUAUUCUGUAGCAAGGUUAACCGAAUAGGGGAGCCGAAGGGAAACCGAGUCUUAACUGGGCGUUAAGUUGCAGGGUAUAGACCCGAAACCCGGUGAUCUAGCCAUGGGCAGGUUGAAGGUUGGGUAACACUAACUGGAGGACCGAACCGACUAAUGUUGAAAAAUUAGCGGAUGACUUGUGGCUGGGGGUGAAAGGCCAAUCAAACCGGGAGAUAGCUGGUUCUCCCCGAAAGCUAUUUAGGUAGCGCCUCGUGAAUUCAUCUCCGGGGGUAGAGCACUGUUUCGGCAAGGGGGUCAUCCCGACUUACCAACCCGAUGCAAACUGCGAAUACCGGAGAAUGUUAUCACGGGAGACACACGGCGGGUGCUAACGUCCGUCGUGAAGAGGGAAACAACCCAGACCGCCAGCUAAGGUCCCAAAGUCAUGGUUAAGUGGGAAACGAUGUGGGAAGGCCCAGACAGCCAGGAUGUUGGCUUAGAAGCAGCCAUCAUUUAAAGAAAGCGUAAUAGCUCACUGGUCGAGUCGGCCUGCGCGGAAGAUGUAACGGGGCUAA